AAGAAAGUUCAUAAGAGGCUAUUAAAACAUCUAAUUAUUUCAGUUAAGAAUCUACCUGAUUCAGUAUAAUUGGUUUCCUUUCCUUCUUGAACUUUUGGAAAACUCUAUGCUUGUGGUGUUCAUAGUAGGUUUUAAAAAGCUAGGCCAUAAUUAUGGAAAAGCAAGCUACUUAAUAAGUGCCACUUCAUGGGGUCAAGAAUAACACACUGCUUCCAACUACUAAUACUGACUUCAGCAAAGGGUGACUUGUGGCUUUAAUGUAGAUAUAAUUUUUUUUUUAAACUAUCUUGGCCAGGCUCGGUGGCUCACACUUGUAAUCCUAACACUUUGGGAGGCCAAGGCAGGUGGAUCACCUGAGGUCAAGAGUUCAAAACCAGCCUGGCCAACAUGGCAAACCCCCAUCUCUACUAAAAAAUCCAAAAAUUAGCUGGAUGUGGUGAGGGGUGCCUGUAAUCCCAGCUAAUCUGGAGGCUGAAGCAGGGAGAAUUGCUUGAACCUGGGAGGCAGAGGUUGCAGUGAGCCGAGAUUGCACCACUGCACUCCAGCCUGGGCAACAGAGUGAGACUCCAUCUCAAAAUAAUGAUGAUGAUAAUAAUAAUAAUAAUAAUAUAAAAUAAAAAUAAAUAACUAUCUUGAACUGGCAGGUAAUAAUAAAAGUGGUAGUGGUGACUAUAAAUCCAAAAUAAGUUAAAAAAAAUCCCUGCUCCUGACUCAUGAUUCUUAGAAGAACCAACUAAUGAUUAAAACUUUAAAAAGCUCAAUAUAUGCAAAUUGACCAAGGGGUUAAAAAAACAAUAUAAAUAAUCUCUAUGUAUUCAAGAUGUGUAAUUGGCAACAAUUUAAGAUUGAUUAACAGGUGGACCCUAGAGGGGGAAAGGAACCUUUAGUGAAUUUCUGGCCAUGCCAGGAAGAAUGUAAAGUUUAAGCAAUUAUUUCCUAUUAGCCCUUGCUAAUUUCUUACUACAAACUCAAUAAACAUUGUUAAAUCCAUCUACUUUGAGAUACAUCUAGCACCAAAUGCCACAAAGUCAAUCACUUCUGCCCUCAACAAGCUUCACCACUUCACCAACUCUCUGUCCUAACUUAGAUUAACUUUUUUUUUUUUUUUGAGACAGGGUUUUUGCUCUGUCGCCCAGACUGGAGUGCAGUGGCAUGAUCUCGUGAUCUCAGCUCACUGCAACCUCCGCCUCCUGGGUUCAAGUGAUUCUCCUGCGUCAGCCUCCGGAGCAGCUGGGAUUACAGGUGCCUGCCACGACACCCGGCUAAUUUUUGUAUUUUUAAUAGAGAUGGGGUUUCACCACGUUGGUCAGGCUGGUCUCGAACUCCUGAUCUCAAGUUAUCUACCCACCUUGGCCUCCCAAAGUGCUGGGAUUAC
RNAcentral lists this long non-coding RNA (1375 nucleotides) under Homo sapiens (human). RNAcentral's name for it is "HSALNT0276683". The record is from RNAcentral. Lineage: Eukaryota; Metazoa; Chordata; Mammalia; Primates; Hominidae.